UGUUUUGACUGAAUUUUUCUUUUUCUUUUAUUAAUGGCGUCUCGGCAGCCGUUUCCUCUCGUGGCUGGUCACUAAGUUCGGUGACAGAUGUCGUUGAUACUGUAACAGUAGUAGCACUAGUAAUGGUAUGAUGGUGAGUUGGCAGAAAGGAUAAUGAGCUUAGAUGUUUCACGGGAUUUUCAAUAGGUCUCUCUCUCUCUUUUUAAAAAAAUUAAAAUCCGGACUGAAUUCAUUUUCUAUAUCAAUAAAAUAGAGUACUGGUCAUGAAUUGAUUAUGAUUCAGUUAUCGUCGAAACAAAUCGACAUUGCCGAUGUGAUCAUGAUGACAAUAUUAGCAACGAAUACGUUAUUGUUAUUGUUGGUGAUGGUAGUGGCGAUAAGGAGGAUGACAGUGUCAGUCGGAUAUUAAUAAUGGAUAAUAUAUUUCGAAAAUUGGUCAAUCAGUAGUGUUAAAGAAUCAUUCCUUUUACCGUGUGUAUACGGCUUGGGCCGUGCAAACAGACGUACACGUAUAAGCAUUUAUUGAUAGAUAUGAGGCUGAGGCUUCACCUGUACCUGCUUAAAGGUGUAUCUGAUAAAUGGCAUUAAUUUUUAACAUUGACACAAGGUCACCGAUUUUCUGGAAGGCGUAUACUAGAUUAUAUGGUACUAUUUAAGAAGGUUUUUUUCUUUAUCGCGGGUGCGGUACGCGCGUUGGGUCCAUCUUCUUAAGUAGUACCGAUUAUAUUGACCCCAAUACUUAAACUGGUACUUUACUUGCUUUAUCUAACACGAAAGUAUGAAGGACAAAAUCGACCCGAGUGGGAUUUGAUCUCACAACGUAAAGGGACGUAACAAAAUAUUGCAAGACUUUUGGGUGGAGCUCUACUAAUUUUCUUCAGUCCUUCAAAAGCAACCCGAUUCCAUGAUAUAGCUGAGGAAAAGUACCUCACGGGAACGUUCUGCACAUUAAAUAGUAGAAAUCUGGAUUAUGAAGGAGGAGCUUCAAUGUUACCAUGAUGGAACAUAGACCAAGCAUCUCAUAGAGCAAAGACAAGACCAAAGAGGGAAUUUGUGGACACAUUCCACCCAUCUCUACAAUUUUUGCUCAAUGUAGAGCAGGCUUUGGUGGUCGUUGUUAUUAUGCUCAGCAGUACAAUGUAUCGGGUGUUAUGUUUCGGAGACUUCUGCAACCUAAGUAACAAAGACCACUCAGUUACAUUGACGUUACUGGCAGAGAGACACAACAUGAAACUGAGGAUCUAUCAUAACUAUUGUGGGAAGAGAUAACUGGCAUGGAUUUGUGCAAUGUAUCCUGGCUACAACCACUUGAAGAAAUACACACACACACACACACACUCAGAUAUAUUUAAUAGGCAGAAGUUACAAAAUGACUCAAGGGCCAGAGCUUCAGGGUUAAUGAGCUAAGACUGUCAGUAUAAUGGCAUCUAGUCAGUCAAAAACCACCUCUCCUACAAAUUUAGAGCCAUCUAAAGAUACAAGAAACUAGAUUAGGAGCAGGCAUGGUUGUGUGGCAGGAAGCUUCCUUCCCAACCACAUAGUUCUGGGUUCAAGUCCACUCAGUGGCA
This is a long non-coding RNA of Octopus sinensis (East Asian common octopus), 1568 nucleotides long. RefSeq lists it as uncharacterized. The transcript has 3 exons. Lineage: Eukaryota; Metazoa; Mollusca; Cephalopoda; Octopoda; Octopodidae. The record is from RefSeq and is a predicted model, not a curated record.